This 253-nucleotide ribosomal RNA is filed under the name uncultured bacterium. RNAcentral describes it as "partial 16S ribosomal RNA". It matches the Rfam family "Bacterial small subunit ribosomal RNA", at positions 524 to 776 of the family's 1533-position model. The record is from RNAcentral.
UACGAAGGGGACUAGCGUUGUUCGGAAUCACUGGGCGUAAAGCGCACGUAGGCGGAUGUGUCAGUCAGGGGUGAAAUCCCGGGGCUCAACCUCGGAACUGCCUUUGAUACAGCACGUCUCGAGUCCGGAAGAGGUGGGUGGAAUUCCUAGUGUAGAGGUGAAAUUCGUAGAUAUUAGGAAGAACACCGGUGGCGAAGGCGGCCCACUGGUCCGGUACUGACGCUGAGGUGCGAAAGCUAGGGGAGCAAACGGG